Molecule: ribosomal RNA, 464 nt
Filed under: uncultured bacterium
Lineage: Bacteria
Description: partial 16S ribosomal RNA
Rfam family: Bacterial small subunit ribosomal RNA
Source: RNAcentral
ACGAACGCUGGCGGCGUGCUUAACACAUGCCAGUCGAACGGAAAGGCCCUGCUUGCCGGGUACUCGAGUGGCGAACGGGUGAGUAACACGUGGGUGAUCUGCCCUGCACUUCGGGAUAAGCCUGGGAAACUGGGUCUAAUACCGGAUAGGAGCCAUUUUUAGUGUGAUGGUUGGAAAGUUUUUUCGGUGUAGGAUGAGCUCGCGGCCUAUCAGCUUGUUGGUGGGGUAAUGGCCUACCAAGGCGGCGACGGGUAGCCGGCCUGAGAGGGUGGACGGCCACAUUGGGACUGAGAUACGGCCCAGACUCCUACGGGAGGCAGCAGGGGGGAAUAUUGCACAAUGGGCGCAAGCCUGAUGCAGCGACGCCGCGUGGGGGAUGACGGCCUUCGGGUUGUAAACUCCUUUCGCUAGGGACGAAGCUUUUUGUGACGGUACCUAGAUAAGAAGCACCGGCUAACUACGUG